RNAcentral lists this long non-coding RNA (232 nucleotides) under Capsicum annuum. RNAcentral describes it as "long non-coding RNA (CANN_LNC006856)". The record is from RNAcentral. Lineage: Eukaryota; Viridiplantae; Streptophyta; Magnoliopsida; Solanales; Solanaceae.
UAUUUUUCGAAUGGUUUUGAUGAGUUAAAUUGUUGAAAAUAUUAUGUAUUGAGUCUUCAUAUCCUAGUCCAAAUGUCGAGUCGGUUAUGGUUCAAUGCAUUGAUAUCUUGUUGAUGUUGAGGAAGAUUAAAAUGUUUUGAGCUAAAAUGUGUUGAGUUAGGAAUCCACAAAUUGAUAUGAUUUGAUAAAUGAGAAAGAGAUUUGAUUUGAUCUUUAUGAUAGACCCUUGUGA